RNAcentral lists this ribosomal RNA (2715 nucleotides) under Salmonella enterica subsp. enterica serovar Enteritidis. RNAcentral's name for it is "partial 23S ribosomal RNA". It matches the Rfam family "Bacterial large subunit ribosomal RNA". Lineage: Bacteria; Pseudomonadati; Pseudomonadota; Gammaproteobacteria; Enterobacterales; Enterobacteriaceae. The record is from RNAcentral.
CUGCGAUAAGCGCCGGUAAGGUGAUAUGAACCGUUAUAACCGGCGAUACCCGAAUGGGGAAACCCAGUGUGAUUCGUCACACUAUCAUUAACUGAAUCCAUAGGUUAAUGAGGCGAACCGGGGGAACUGAAACAUCUAAGUACCCCGAGGAAAAGAAAUCAACCGAGAUUCCCCCAGUAGCGGCGAGCGAACGGGGAGGAGCCCAGAGCCUGAAUCAGCAUGUGUGUUAGUGGAAGCGUCUGGAAAGGCGCGCGAUACAGGGUGACAGCCCCGUACACAAAAGCGCAUGUGCUGUGAGCUCGAUGAGUAGGGCGGGACACGUGGUAUCCUGUCUGAAUAUGGGGGGACCAUCCUCCAAGGCUAAAUACUCCUGACUGACCGAUAGUGAACCAGUACCGUGAGGGAAAGGCGAAAAGAACCCCGGCGAGGGGAGUGAAAAAGAACCUGAAACCGUGUACGUACAAGCAGUGGGAGCACAGGUUUACCUGUGUGACUGCGUACCUUUUGUAUAAUGGGUCAGCGACUUAUAUUCUGUAGCAAGGUUAACCGAAUAGGGGAGCCGGAGGGAAACCGAGUCUUAAUUGGGCGUUAAGUUGCAGGGUAUAGACCCGAAACCCGGUGAUCUAGCCAUGGGCAGGUUGAAGGUUGGGUAACACUAACUGGAGGACCGAACCGACUAAUGUUGAAAAAUUAGCGGAUGACCUGUGGCUGGGGGUGAAAGGCCAAUCAAACCGGGAGAUAGCUGGUUCUCCCCGAAAGCUAUUUAGGUAGCGCCUCGUGAAUUCAUCUCCGGGGGUAGAGCACUGUUUCGGCUAGGGGGCCAUCCCGGCUUACCAACCCGAUGCAAACUGCGAAUACCGGAGAAUGUUAUCACGGGAGACACACGGCGGGUGCUAACGUCCGUCGUGAAGAGGGAAACAACCCAGACCGCCAGCUAAGGUCCCAAAGUCAUGGUUAAGUGGGAAACGAUGUGGGAAGGCCCAGACAGCCAGGAUGUUGGCUUAGAAGCAGCCAUCAUUUAAAGAAAGCGUAAUAGCUCACUGGUCGAGUCGGCCUGCGCGGAAGAUGUAACGGGGCUAAACCAUGCACCGAAGCUGCGGCAGCGACACUGUGUGUUGUUGGGUAGGGGAGCGUUCUGUAAGCCUGUGAAGGUGUGUCGUGAGGCAUGCUGGAGGUAUCAGAAGUGCGAAUGCUGACAUAAGUAACGAUAAAGCGGGUGAAAAGCCCGCUCGCCGGAAGACCAAGGGUUCCUGUCCAACGUUAAUCGGGGCAGGGUGAGUCGACCCCUAAGGCGAGGCCGAAAGGCGUAGUCGAUGGGAAACGGGUUAAUAUUCCCGUACUUGGUGUUACUGCGAAGGGGGGACGGAGAAGGCUAUGUUGGCCGGGCGACGGUUGUCCCGGUUUAAGCGUGUAGGUGUGUGUUCCAGGUAAAUCCGGUUCACUUUAACACUGAGGCGUGACGACGAGGCACUACGGUGCUGAAGCAACAAAUGCCCUGCUUCCAGGAAAAGCCUCUAAGCAUCAGGUAACAUCAAAUCGUACCCCAAACCGACACAGGUGGUCAGGUAGAGAAUACCAAGGCGCUUGAGAGAACUCGGGUGAAGGAACUAGGCAAAAUGGUGCCGUAACUUCGGGAGAAGGCACGCUGACACGUAGGUGAAGUGAUUUACUCAUGGAGCUGAAGUCAGUCGAAGAUACCAGCUGGCUGCAACUGUUUAUUAAAAACACAGCACUGUGCAAACACGAAAGUGGACGUAUACGGUGUGACGCCUGCCCGGUGCCGGAAGGUUAAUUGAUGGGGUCAGCGCAAGCGAAGCUCCUGAUCGAAGCCCCGGUAAACGGCGGCCGUAACUAUAACGGUCCUAAGGUAGCGAAAUUCCUUGUCGGGUAAGUUCCGACCUGCACGAAUGGCGUAAUGAUGGCCAGGCUGUCUCCACCCGAGACUCAGUGAAAUUGAACUCGCUGUGAAGAUGCAGUGUACCCGCGGCAAGACGGAAAGACCCCGUGAACCUUUACUAUAGCUUGACACUGAACAUUGAGCCUUGAUGUGUAGGAUAGGUGGGAGGCUUUGAAGUGUGGACGCCAGUCUGCAUGGAGCCGACCUUGAAAUACCACCCUUUAAUGUUUGAUGUUCUAACGUGGACCCGUUACCCGGGUUGCGGACAGUGUCUGGUGGGUAGUUUGACUGGGGCGGUCUCCUCCUAAAGAGUAACGGAGGAGCACGAAGGUUGGCUAAUCCUGGUCGGACAUCAGGAGGUUAGUGCAAUGGCAUAAGCCAGCUUGACUGCGAGCGUGACGGCGCGAGCAGGUGCGAAAGCAGGUCAUAGUGAUCCGGUGGUUCUGAAUGGAAGGGCCAUCGCUCAACGGAUAAAAGGUACUCCGGGGAUAACAGGCUGAUACCGCCCAAGAGUUCAUAUCGACGGCGGUGUUUGGCACCUCGAUGUCGGCUCAUCACAUCCUGGGGCUGAAGUAGGUCCCAAGGGUAUGGCUGUUCGCCAUUUAAAGUGGUACGCGAGCUGGGUUUAGAACGUCGUGAGACAGUUCGGUCCCUAUCUGCCGUGGGCGCUGGAGAACUGAGGGGGGCUGCUCCUAGUACGAGAGGACCGGAGUGGACGCAUCACUGGUGUUCGGGUUGUCAUGCCAAUGGCACUGCCCGGUAGCUAAAUGCGGAAGAGAUAAGUGCUGAAAGCAUCUAAGCACGAAACUUGCCCCGAG